UACUCACUGAUAAGUGGAUAUUAGCC
This 26-nucleotide non-coding RNA is filed under the name Mus musculus (house mouse). RNAcentral also lists the same sequence under 1 other name. The record is from RNAcentral. Lineage: Eukaryota; Metazoa; Chordata; Mammalia; Rodentia; Muridae.